RNA transcript from Triticum urartu, 796 nucleotides. It is a transcript of the gene named protein NUCLEAR FUSION DEFECTIVE 6, mitochondrial, with no coding region annotated. Lineage: Eukaryota; Viridiplantae; Streptophyta; Magnoliopsida; Poales; Poaceae. The record is from RefSeq and is a predicted model, not a curated record.
GCCGCCGCCGCAUUCCUGACGCCGAGCCCUAAACGCUUCUACUCUCCUCGGUCCUCGCCCACCCGCCUCUCCCUUUCCCAUCUCCCUUGCCUUCGCCAAACCCUCAGAGAUGGCCUCGACCUGCUUCCGCGCCGCCGCCCGCGCCGCCACCGCGGCAUGCCGCUCGGCGGCCUCCCGCUCCAUGCCCUCCGUCGGCCGCUCCGCCGCCCGCCGCGCCCCGCUAAUCUCCAGGGUGCCGCUGGAGCUGGGGUGCUGCGCGGGAAUGUCGCUGCUGCCGCUGCACAGCGCGGUGGCCGCGGCGAGGCUGACUUCGCGGCUGAGCACGGCGUCCCGGAGCUCCUCCGCUCUCUCUCAGGGUAUCCUCUGUCGCACCUAUCCCGGACUUUAACAUCGUACCAUCGAUGAAGCUGUUGUCUGUCUUUUCGGUUUGGGCACAUGAGUUGCUAGUUCUUGAAAGAUGAAAAUGAUGAUACGUGAAACAUUUACACAAUGUCUUAAGAGAUGGGUCUCUCUGCUCCAAGGUGAUAAAACGCGGGAAGACCUGCUCGUGUCGUGCAAUCAGUCUGAUAGAAUUUGUAGAGUAGUGAACUAAAUGAACUUCUUUUGGUACGGAGUAAUUUAUUUGUGACACGUACAAUCAUGGUUCUGCUGGGCCUUUCCAAGUUUUGAGAUCAUAUCUUUUAUCUUGAUAUAAAUAUGCAAGGACAAAUUGCAGAGUGAUGGCUGUGUUUGUUUACAACAGUUCUGAAUGCCAUUUAUAUGGUAAUGAUCGAUGAGAAACGAGUUUAAUAAUGCA